RNAcentral lists this ribosomal RNA (254 nucleotides) under uncultured bacterium. RNAcentral describes it as "partial 16S ribosomal RNA". It matches the Rfam family "Bacterial small subunit ribosomal RNA", at positions 524 to 776 of the family's 1533-position model. The record is from RNAcentral.
UACGUAGGGUGCGAGCGUUAAUCGGAAUUACUGGGCGUAAAGAGCGCGUAGGCGGCGCGUUACGACCGAUGUGAAAGCCCCCGGCUCAACUGGGGAGGGCCAUCGGUAACGGUCGUGCUAUGAGUGCAGGAGAGGGAAGUGGAACUCCGGGAGUAGCGGUGAAAUGCGUAGAGACCCGGAGGAACACCAGUGGCGAAGGCGAGUCUCUGGACAUUUCCUGACGCUGAGGCACGAAAGCCAGGGGAGCAAACGGG